GAGAGAGGUAAGAAACAGUAAGGAUUGCUAAUCCAUACCCCCGUAGUUAAACUCUUCAAACGGAUGGGAGGUCCCACCUGCCCAGUGACAA
This 91-nucleotide transfer RNA is filed under the name Hoplosternum littorale (atipa). RNAcentral's name for it is "partial tRNA-Ser". The record is from RNAcentral. Lineage: Eukaryota; Metazoa; Chordata; Actinopteri; Siluriformes; Callichthyidae.